AUUGAACGCUGGCGGCAGGCCUAACACAUGCAAGUCGAACGAGUGGCGGACGGGUGAGUAAUGUCUGGGAAACUGCUCGAUGGAGGGGGAUAAAUACUGGAAAAGGUAGCUAAUACCGCAUACCAUCUGAUGUGAACAGAUGGGAUUAGCUCGUGGGUGGGGUAACGGCUCACCUAGGCGACGAUCCCUAGCUGGGUUGAGAGGAUGACCAGCCACACUGGAACUGAGACACGGUCCAUACUCCUACGGGAGGCAGCAGUGGGGAAUAUUGCACAAUGGGCGCAAGCCUGAUGCAGCCAUGCCGCGUGUAUGAAGAAGGCCUUCGGGUUGUAAAGUACUUUCAGCGAGGAGGCGUUACUCGCAGAAGAAGCACCGGCUAACUCCGUGCCAGCAGCCGCGGUAAUUC
Molecule: ribosomal RNA, 406 nt
Filed under: uncultured bacterium
Lineage: Bacteria
Description: partial 16S ribosomal RNA
Rfam family: Bacterial small subunit ribosomal RNA
Source: RNAcentral